CUACGUAGGGUGCAAGCGUUGUUCGGAAUCAUUGGGCGUAAAGCGCGUGUAGGUUGCUAGAUAAGUCAGGUGUGAAAGCCCUCGGCUCAACCGGGGAAGUGCAUCUGAAACUAUCUGGCUAGAGGACGGCAGAGGGAGGUGGAAUUCCUAGUGUAGAGGUGAAAUUCGUAGAUAUUAGGAGGAACACCGGCGGCGAAGGCGGCCUCCUGGACCGUUCCUGACACUGAGACGCGAAAGCGUGGGUAGCAAACAGAAUUAGAAACCCCGGUAGUCC
Molecule: ribosomal RNA, 274 nt
Filed under: uncultured bacterium
Lineage: Bacteria
Description: partial 16S ribosomal RNA
Rfam family: Bacterial small subunit ribosomal RNA
Source: RNAcentral